Molecule: long non-coding RNA, 1328 nt
Organism: Catharus ustulatus (Swainson's thrush)
Lineage: Eukaryota; Metazoa; Chordata; Aves; Passeriformes; Turdidae
Exons: 2
Source: RefSeq, a predicted model, not a curated record
AACGCGGCGGGACGGUGGGGACGCGGGAGACCGUGGAGGCCCAACCGUGCCCUAGUGCGCGGCGCCCGCUCUCAGCCGGAGCUCGAUCGGCGUUCUCGGAACCGGCGGCGGCGACGGCAGCGCUCCGAGCCACGCUCCCCCAAGCGCGGGGCCGGUGGUGCGGUCUUACCCGCGCCUGCGCGAGCGCGGGAGCUGCCGGGAACCGGCGCCGUCCGGGACCUGUGGCUGAGGGCGGUGAGAGUGGUGGGAGCCGAGCUACGGCUCCUGAAUAGGCAUGGGCCCCGGGCCGGCCCCGAGUAGCUCGCCUGGAGCAGCCGCUAGCAAAAACAGCCUUGCCAAAGCUCGGCGACGCCUCUCUCCCGUCUCCGCUACCAGAAAGAACGAGCGCACCUCAUAUAAAAACAAAACAAAAAACCACCAAAACCCAAACUUGGUUACCUGGCGUGUUCACCGUGGGGAAGAAUGAGGGGAAGCCUCAUCGCAGGCUACGACCUCCUCGUGAGGAGUAGCGAAGGGGUAGCUCCGAUCUCUGCUCUCUGCGACCAGUGACAGAACCCGAGGGAACGGCUGGAGGUGUGUCAGGGGAGAUUUAGGCAAAUAUAUCCGGAAAAGAUGCUUCCUCCAGAGGAUGGUCGGGCACUAAACAGGCUCCCGGUGUAGUGGUUACGGUCCCAAGGCUGGCAGAGCUCAAGGAGUGUUCAGACAAGGCUCCCAUGGUCAGGGUGGGAUUGUUGGUGUGUGCUGUGCAGGAGUUGGAUUGGCUGAUACCAUGGAUCCCUUCCCACUCAGAAGAUUCUGUGGUUUCUAGAAUAAAAACAAAAACCCUUUUUCACAGAUCUGGGCAGAAGAGGAUGGAAACAUUAGAGAUGCAAUCAUUUGUUAUCAGCAUCACUCUGGCAGUGCUGGCAUUGAAUGUUAUUUGUAAGUCUGAAAAGGACACAAACCCUGUCGCCAGCAGAGGCAUGUGAGCAAUACUGGCUGAGGCAUCUUGGUACGUGAACAGCAUCAUUCUGCACUGGGCAGGAAGAAUUGAUCCAACAUGCCUCUGCAGAUCUUAUGCAGGAGUGUCCACUGAACCCAGCGCUUCAUUCCAGAUGUGGCUGACGGAAGAAAACCUCAUGCAAAGUGCAAGACUGACACCUGGAGGGACUGCGAGGGGCAGACAGGGGACCUGGAGCAGCCACAGAUCCUGCAACACAGCUGGGUGGGGAAAGCUCAGAGGAGGUGGCUGAUCCCAGGAUUUGAAAGUAUGCUUUUCUAGUGAAGGCAUGCUUUCAAUAUGCUUCUGUCUCCCCUUUUCCUUUAAUAAAUAAAAAUACAGAUUUCUA